RNAcentral lists this ribosomal RNA (253 nucleotides) under uncultured bacterium. RNAcentral's name for it is "partial 16S ribosomal RNA". It matches the Rfam family "Bacterial small subunit ribosomal RNA", at positions 524 to 776 of the family's 1533-position model. The record is from RNAcentral.
GACGGAGGGUGCAAGCGUUGUUCGGAUUGACUGGGCGUAAAGGGCGUGUAGGCGGUUCGUUAAGUCGGGUGUGAAAGCCCGGAGCUCAGCUCCGGAAGUGCGCCCGAAACUGGCGAGCUGGAGCGCGGUAGAGGAGGGUGGAAUUCCUGGUGUAGCGGUGAAAUGCGUAGAUAUCAGGAGGAACACCGGCGGCGAAGGCGGCCCUCUGGACCGUUGCUGACGCUGAGACGCGAAAGCGUGGGGAGCAAACAGG